GUGGUUUAAUUCGACGCAACGCGAAGAACCUUACCAGGCUUGACAUCCCCUGACCGCGUAUGAAAGUACGUUUUCACCCUCGGGUGACAGGGAGACAGGUGGUGCAUGGUUGUCGUCAGCUCGUGUCGUGAGAUGUUGGGUUAAGUCCCGCAACGAGCGCAACCCCUACGUUUAGUUGCUAACGCGUGAAGGCGAGCACUCUAGACGAACUGCCGUUGACAAAACGGAGGAAGGUGGGGAUGACGUCAAAUCAUCAUGCCCCUUAUGUUCUGGGCUACACACGUGCUACAAUGGCCGGUACAGACGGACGCAAAGCCGCGAGGUGGAGCAAAUCCUAAAAAGCCGGUCUCAGUUCGGAUUGCAGGCUGCAAUUCGCCUGCAUGAAGUCGGAAUCGCUAGUAAUCGCAGGUCAGCAUACUGCGGUCGAAUACGUUCCCGGGCCUU
RNAcentral lists this ribosomal RNA (444 nucleotides) under uncultured Pelotomaculum sp. Its description in RNAcentral is "bacterial SSU rRNA". It matches the Rfam family "Bacterial small subunit ribosomal RNA", at positions 941 to 1382 of the family's 1533-position model. Lineage: Bacteria; Bacillati; Bacillota; Clostridia; Eubacteriales; Desulfotomaculaceae. The record is from RNAcentral.